AAGGAUCAUUAUUGAAAUAAACCUGAUGGGUUGUUGCUGGUUCUCCAGGGAGCAUGUGCACACCUUGUCAUCUUUAUAUCUCCACCUGUGCACUCUUUGUAGACCUGAAAAGGUCUAUGUUGCUUCAUUUUACCCCAAUGUAUGUUAAUAGAAUGUUGUACCUAUAUAAUAUAUACAACUUUCAGCAACGGAUCUCUUGGCUCUC
Molecule: unclassified non-coding RNA, 205 nt
Filed under: uncultured fungus
Lineage: Eukaryota; Fungi
Description: partial contains 18S rRNA, ITS1, 5.8S rRNA, ITS2 and 28S rRNA
Source: RNAcentral